This 952-nucleotide unclassified non-coding RNA is filed under the name Hevea brasiliensis (rubber tree). The record is from RNAcentral. Lineage: Eukaryota; Viridiplantae; Streptophyta; Magnoliopsida; Malpighiales; Euphorbiaceae.
UUAUUAGUUGUCUCUCUGCCUCAAUAAUGGCCUUAUUCUCUCCAAAGUCAGAGCUUUUGUUCUUGUUCUUCUUCAUCUUUUCUCUAUCCUUCAAUCUUAGCCAUUCAAAUAAAUAUGAUGAUGUUCAUGAUCUCCUUCCUUUUUACAAUCUUCCAAAGGGUCUUCUCCCAAACAAUGUGAAAUCAUACACUGUUUCCACCAAAGACGGUUCUUUUACUGUACAACUCACACAUCCAUGUUAUGUACAGUUUCAAGAUCAGCUUGUUUACUACCAAAAAGAUAUUAAAGGGAAGUUGAGUUAUGGAUCUGUCUCUGAUGUCACUGGAAUACAAGCAAAGAAGUUGUUUGUAUGGGUAUCUGUAACUGGGAUUAGUGUUGAUGAUCAGUCUCAGAUGAUUGAAUUUCAUGUUGGAUUUUUAUCUGAAAAAUUACCAGCUAAGGAGUUUGAGAAUAUUCCUACUUGUACUAAUAAGAUUAAGGGUUGCCAACACUCUGCCUUUGCUUCAAUAUGACCAGCACGUCAUUGUGAACAGUAGAAUGGAAGCGUUCAUUUGCAGUGACAAUUAAGUUGUAUAUCUGUAAUAAGAUAUGGAUUUCCCGAUCAUAAGGAAAUGCUGUCAUUGUUUUAUCUUAUCACCCCUUUCUCGUUUGAGUAUACAACACAUAAGAAUUUGAUGCUGUCGACAACUUUUCUUCUCUGGACAAAUGGAGCUCUGAGGUACUGUUAUGAGUCUUGUGAAGAAUGAAGUUGACUUGUCUUGAUAAAUAGUCGGUAUUUGGAGUCUAUGAAAUUCUUCCUUAAUAGAAACAGAAGAAGGGACUUCUAUCUUUCGUGGCUGUUUUUCUUGGUUCAGUAUUUCCUUCUCAUUUCUCACACAUCUAUGAACAAACGAAAUAGGACAUUUCGAUUUAUAAUAAUCUUUUGAUCACUGAUCACAAAUCUAUAAACAAA